GCGUAAACAGUGAAAAAGAUGAGUACCUAGAAGACUGUCUAUGUAGAGAAAAAGCGGUUGGUGAAAGCUUUUAGAAACAAGCUAGGGAAGCUACUUUGGAGUUUAAUCGUACAUCUACGAUACAGAUAAUUAAGGUGCAUAGAGAAAUCUAUGAAUCAGGAUGGUACCGCGUAUUCACGUUCCUGUU
Molecule: non-coding RNA, 187 nt
Filed under: Erysipelotrichaceae bacterium
Lineage: Bacteria; Bacillati; Bacillota; Erysipelotrichia; Erysipelotrichales; Erysipelotrichaceae
Description: T-box sequence
Rfam family: T-box leader
About the family: Uncharged tRNA acts as the effector for transcription antitermination of genes in the T-box leader family. T-boxes are found upstream of many aminoacyl-tRNA synthetase genes and some amino acid biosynthetic genes usually in Gram-positive bacteria.
Source: RNAcentral